This 343-nucleotide ribosomal RNA is filed under the name uncultured bacterium. Its description in RNAcentral is "bacterial SSU rRNA". It matches the Rfam family "Bacterial small subunit ribosomal RNA", at positions 457 to 793 of the family's 1533-position model. The record is from RNAcentral.
UAGCAUAUUCAUUUGACGUUAGCUGCAGAAGAAGCACCGGCUAACUCCGUGCCAGCAGCCGCGGUAAGUACGGAGGGUGCGAGCGUUAAUCGGAAUUACUGGGCGUAAAGCGCAUGCAGGUGGUUUGUUAAGUCAGAUGUGAAAGCCCCGGGGCUCAACCUCGGAAUUGCAUUUGAAACUGGCAAACUAGAGUACUGUAGAGGGGGUAGAAUUUCAGGUGUAGCGGUGAAAUGCGUAGAGAUCUGAAGGAAUACCCGGUGGCGAAGGCGGCCCCCCUGGACAGAUACUGACACUCAGAUGCGAAACGCGUGGGGAGCAAAACAGGAUUAGAUACCCCUGGUAG